GGCGGCGGCGGCGGCGGCUACGGAGGCACCACUGCGGCUGCGCGGCUUCGCGAGCCCCACCUAGCCCCGCCCCUCCCUCGAGCCCUGAGCUGGGAGCUAUUGAAGCCUCCUCUUUCCGGUCAUGGAUGUUGCCCUAGAUGAUCACAGUUUUGCCUGAUUCAGAAACACAUGCUGCCUAAGAGAGUUGGGGAUUGAUGGAAAGCAACAGGAGUUGAAGAAGAUGAGCUCUUCUGGGAUAGAGACCACCUCUCCUACUUCUCAUCACAGUUUAAUGGAAAGUUGUGGACUUUGAAAUCUGGAAAACUUUGUUAGAAUCCUGGCUCCUACUCCAUCCAUGUGACCAUGGGCAAGAUAUUUAACCACUCUGAGGUAUUUCAGAUCAAUUCCACUGUUAAAUGCUUCUGUCUGAAAUGAAUCCCUCAAGUCAACAUUACAAGUGUAUUUGGACUAGACAAGGUCUCCUUUGGUUUAUCAUUACAUAAUUUUAACUAGAUGAUGAGAACAACAGAAGCUGUUUACUUUUAAAAGAACAUGAAGGUCAUUUCUAUAUUGAGCUAAUUGAAUGGGGUAUGCUGGACCCAUUGUUAGGAGGAACAUCAAGAAAUUUCAAAUAGUUUAAUGGUAAAAGUCUCAGAACACUGCAUUAAAAAAUAUCUGUCAAAUAACAAGCUACUUUUAGCUACCCUUUGGGAGAGAAUGAGGAGGAAAUUAAGGAGUAAAAGAAGGUUUUAAGAGAUCCAAUGACUUCAUUUAGGAUUUUUUUAAAGUGAUGUGAUUGAUGGAAUAAAAUGAAUGUUCACAGAUUUGUAGAGGACACUAAGGUGAGAAAAGUGAUUAGAACUUCAUGGGGAGGUAGAAAAUUCAAAAUUAUCUUUACAAAUUUUAAAAAAAUCAUGGAAAAAAGAUAAAUUCAAUAGGUGCAAUACUUGUUGAUCUAUAUGGGGGGAAAUGAAUUGCUCAAAAAUGAAAUGGAGACUAACUGUUGAGAUAUAAGAAUGAAUCAUAUUGGAGAACAAAUUUGACAUGAGCCCGACAAAUGAAACUAUUAGAAAAGAAAAUGCAUGAUCCUGGAAUGCAUUAACAGGUAUGUUAGUGUGAAGCAGUUUUCGUGCUAUAUUCAGUAUUUGUAACUGGCAUGGUGUAAAGAGCACAGGAUUUGCGAUCUAACUUCAAAUCCUAGUUCUCUUAUUAUUAGCUAUAUGUGACCUUGAACUCAGUGACUUAAUUUCUCUGGAUCUCAGCUUCUUCAUAUGUCAAAUAAGAGAUUGACUUGUAGGUCUAAGUCCUAUAAACCUAUGAUUUCAUUAAUACAACAACAAAAAAAGCUG
Molecule: long non-coding RNA, 1328 nt
Organism: Sarcophilus harrisii (Tasmanian devil)
Lineage: Eukaryota; Metazoa; Chordata; Mammalia; Dasyuromorphia; Dasyuridae
Exons: 4
Source: RefSeq, a predicted model, not a curated record